AUAAAUCAGAAUAGCGUGGCCGUCCUUCAGACCCCUCCAGACAUCCAAUCAGAACAUUCAAGGGAUGGUGAUAUGGAUGAUAGUCGAGAUCAAGGGUGUUGCAGAUCUUCUGGCUUCCAUGGCCCACAUUGGAAGAAGCAUUGUCUUGGGCCACACGUAAAAUACACGAAUGAUAGCUGAAGGAGAACUUAUGGAUUGUGAUGGAAAAUCAGAAUCUAGUCCUGAGCGGGAAGCUGUGAAUGAUGAAACUAAGGGAGUGGAAGGAAC
This 267-nucleotide long non-coding RNA is filed under the name Homo sapiens (human). RNAcentral describes it as "HSALNT0402848". The record is from RNAcentral. Lineage: Eukaryota; Metazoa; Chordata; Mammalia; Primates; Hominidae.